Molecule: microRNA, 25 nt
Filed under: Canis lupus familiaris (dog)
Lineage: Eukaryota; Metazoa; Chordata; Mammalia; Carnivora; Canidae
Description: cfa-miR-8791a (MIR8791A)
Source: RNAcentral
UUCUCGGUGUCCUGUGCCCUCCCGG